AAAACGGCUCUUUUAAGAGCCACUCACUACAAUCUAAAAGCAUAGU
Non-coding RNA from Takifugu rubripes (torafugu), 46 nucleotides. The record is from Rfam. NCBI's taxonomy places the organism in Eukaryota, Metazoa, Chordata, Actinopteri, Tetraodontiformes, Tetraodontidae.